UCGAGCCGUGGAAACCUCUUGCAGAAAUGCAGGGUAAGACUGCUUACAAUAAACCUUUGUGGUCCGGCCCUUCCCUGUUACCCGCGCAUAGCUGGAGUUUAGUGCACCGGGCUCCUUGUCCAGCACAUCACCUUGACGUGUCAAUAUUCCUGUGCUGCUCUUAGAAUAGCUCCAGAUUUGGGCAGGGAAAGUGAUAAAACCCCAUCGGUGAAGACUUAUUUUAGAAGAAAGCGUGAAAGAGGAGAUCAAGAUUUGGGCAGCCUUGAACAAGUCUAACUUCUUCAAUACGUAGCUACCAUUCCUGCCCGCUAUCAGAUCAGACAUUACAGUUUUCUUAGUUAUUUGUCGUAAAAAGUAUGUAUCCUAUAAAUAUCUAGUUAGGAUUGGUUUUUGGGGCAUCAAAUGUAUGUUUGAAUAUUUGUAUCUGGGAGUUUUAUCCACUCCACGGGGACAGAUUAAUUGGCUGUAAAUUUUGUUUAAGAUUCUUGCUAGAAUUUUCCUUCUAUUCA
Molecule: non-coding RNA, 509 nt
Organism: Nicotiana tabacum (common tobacco)
Lineage: Eukaryota; Viridiplantae; Streptophyta; Magnoliopsida; Solanales; Solanaceae
Source: RefSeq, a predicted model, not a curated record